This 614-nucleotide long non-coding RNA is filed under the name Mytilus galloprovincialis (Mediterranean mussel). Lineage: Eukaryota; Metazoa; Mollusca; Bivalvia; Mytilida; Mytilidae. The record is from RNAcentral.
UAAUUUUGAAAAUAUUUCUAAAUUCAAAUUAUAUAUUGUUCAUAUUGAAUUCUAAAACCAAUUAUAUAGUGAUCAUUAUAAACUCCGUAGUAUAGCUUAAGGCAUACAUGUAACUUCAUUGUGAAUAUUUUAGGAUGAAAAGUGUUUCAAAUAAUAGUGUUCGUUUUUAAACAUGUUAAAAUUAGUAAAUAAUUUAAACUAGUUUGUGAAAUUUCACCAAGGUACAAACAUAGUGUUUCGGCACGUACCGACAUGUAAAGUAAUGAAUUUAUCAAUACUUGUACCUUUAUUAAAGAUUAGCUAUGUUUUAACAUUUUAACAUUUUCAUCUGUAUAUAUUUCUAGAAUUUAGUGCUUGUGCUUAAUAAAGCGGACUUAUCUUGCUCGAAAUCCCACUGCCACCUCAUCGUUGGUGAGCAGGGGACUUAGACUAACGGAAUGAGUACUUAUUCUUGUAAAUAAUUGAACAAGUUAUAAAUAAAUAAGUAUUAAUAUCUGUAUUUUACUUGAGUUUACCUGUCAAAAAAUGCGCACAAUUGUUAUCAAAAGCUGCGCGCAAACGUAAUGAUUUUUGCGCGCAAAUGUAAUGGUAAUGCGCGCAAACGUAAUGCACCG